AUGAUUCUUAGUUAAUCUUCAUUCAACCAUGGGUUGUUUUUGUUAUGCAAAAAAUAAGUAAAACUUAGGUUGAAUAAACUUAAGUUUUUUUAUUUUAGUUAAGAAAAAUAGACAAGUGGUGGUAGUCCGCCACUCUAAGGGGACGCCUUUAGGAGAAGAGGCUAGGGGGUAUUCCGGUGUGGGAUACUUAGUAAUAUGCAACGCUAAUUGCAUAAGAUUGUAGGACGGAAUUUACAGUCUUGGUUUUUCAAACCUGAAACUAAGUAAGC
RNAcentral lists this non-coding RNA (269 nucleotides) under unclassified sequences. RNAcentral describes it as "ARRPOF RNA". It matches the Rfam family "ARRPOF RNA". The record is from Rfam by way of RNAcentral.